This 45-nucleotide non-coding RNA is filed under the name Echinostoma caproni. Lineage: Eukaryota; Metazoa; Platyhelminthes; Trematoda; Plagiorchiida; Echinostomatidae. The record is from RNAcentral.
ACACUGCUGAGGAGUCCCAACCAGAACGAAACAGCUGUCCAGUGC